GAUGAACGCUGGCGGCGUGCCUAAUACAUGCAAGUCGAGCGAACAGAUGAGGAGCUUGCUCCUCUGACGUUAGCGGCGGACGGGUGAGUAACACGUGGAUAACCUACCUAUAAGACUGGGAUAACUUCGGGAAACCGGAGCUAAUACCGGAUAAUAUAUUGAACCGCAUGGUUCAAUAGUGAAAGACGGUUUUGCUGUCACUUAUAGAUGGAUCCGCGCCGCAUUAGCUAGUUGGUAAGGUAACGGCUUACCAAGGCAACGAUGCGUAGCCGACCUGAGAGGGUGAUCGGCCACACGGGAACUGAGACAGGGACCAGCCUCCUAGGGGGGGCAGCAGUGGGGAAUCUUCCGCAAUGGGCGAAAGCCGGAGGGAACAACGCCGCGGGGGUGAGGAGGGUCUUCGGAUCGUAAAACUCUGUUAUGAGGGAAAAAAAAAUGUGUAAGUAACUAUGCACGUCUGGACGGUACCUAAUAAGAAAGCCACGGCUAACUACGUG
Molecule: ribosomal RNA, 497 nt
Filed under: uncultured bacterium
Lineage: Bacteria
Description: partial 16S ribosomal RNA
Rfam family: Bacterial small subunit ribosomal RNA
Source: RNAcentral